UUAAAAAUAGCUUUUGUAUAUCUAGUGCGUCAUGAGUUAAAAAUGAUAGAUUUUUCGCUAUCAGUAAUCCAAAAUUUUGAUAUUUUUUGAUAAAUCAGGUGAUUUUGAAAGUUUCCUACACCUAAAAACGAAUCGUGAAACUC
Molecule: small RNA, 143 nt
Filed under: Arabidopsis thaliana (thale cress)
Lineage: Eukaryota; Viridiplantae; Streptophyta; Magnoliopsida; Brassicales; Brassicaceae
Description: ATSL147510
Source: RNAcentral